This is a long non-coding RNA of Solanum lycopersicum (tomato), 629 nucleotides long. RefSeq lists it as uncharacterized. Lineage: Eukaryota; Viridiplantae; Streptophyta; Magnoliopsida; Solanales; Solanaceae. The record is from RefSeq and is a predicted model, not a curated record.
CUUAAUUAAUGAUUUAGCCAAGGUUUUUUUCACUUUUACAAAAAUGUACAACCGAAAAAGCAUAAUUGUACAAGAAUAACAUUGCUAAAAUAAUGGAAAACCCUAAAAUACCCCUAACCUAGAGUAAACAUACAGCUCGUAUUCUACUAAAUCCUAAUAGUAGAAGCUCUAUUUUGGUCACUGAAAAUCUUCUUGUUUCCCCUUCGUCUCAGAUGUCAAUUUGAAGUUACCAUUCACGAUGAUACUCAUUUGGCAACAAUAACAAUUUCAGACAAAAUUGGAGAUGAACUGCUAUCUCUAGAAAUUUAUGAUAUACGUUGCACCAAGGUACUUAUUGGCAAGAGCUUACCAGCAUGAGAGGACAAUCAAAGUGUGACAUUAUGUAAAUACUACAAAAGUAAAUUUUCUUAUGUAAAUAACGUAGCCACAAACCAUUGGCAACCAUAUGUAUAAUAAUUAUGUAUAUACCUACAAACGAUUUUCAAUGUGCAAGUGUGCAUGCGUAUUUAGCUCAAAAAAAUCUUUUGAGGCAAGCACGGGCUUCUCUGCCUAGUACUUCAUAUACAAGGACUAAGGAGUAAUAAAGUUAAAUGAAGUAAUAUUGGGUAACCAAAGUUACUCGUUUCUAA